ACCGUCUUUAUCUGGGGUUGUGAGCUUACUCAGUGAUCGUGUAGUGAGAGUAAGACUGCUAUCACCAAUAGUUAAAACAAUACCGCACCGCUUGGAUGUAAAUCUGGGUCUGGGUGCAAUUUAUGGAACC
Mytilus californianus (California mussel) is the source of this 130-nucleotide small nuclear RNA. RefSeq annotates it as U4atac minor spliceosomal RNA. The transcript has a single exon. Lineage: Eukaryota; Metazoa; Mollusca; Bivalvia; Mytilida; Mytilidae. The record is from RefSeq and is a predicted model, not a curated record.